ACGAGAACAUCGAGCCGACGAAGGGACGCGCCCACCUCGUGCUCGAGAAGGGUGCGGACCACCGCGUCGCGCGCGUGCGUCUACGUCAGCUGUGACGGCUCUUCGGCCCGCACGCCGCGCAGGCCGAACCACGCGAGCUCGGAGAUCCAGCGGGCCAGGUGCUCGGCGUCGACGGCACUCGUCGACGGGUCGUCGGAGGUGUCGGAGGUGUGCCGGCCCACCGACUCGGCCAUGCCCACGAGCGCGUUCGCGAGCACGCGCCGGUGCUCGUCGGAUGCAGGGAUCUCGAUCAGCUCGGAGAUGACGUCGGCGGCAGCCUGCACGAUCUUGUCGACGACGCGUGCGAACUCGGGGUCGGUACGGAUGGACGCGCUGAACAGCAGCCGGAAGCCGGCGCGGCUGUCGGACACGAACCGGAAGUAGGCGAGGAACCCGCUCUCGACCCGCUCACGGCCCGACCGCAUGCCGUGGGUCGCGGCCGUGAGCGAGUCGAGCAGCUGGUCGCCGGUGUCGGUGAGCAGCUCGAUGUACAGCGACCGCUUGCUCGGGAAGUGCUGAUACAGCACCGGUUUGGUGACGCCCGCAGCUUCCGCGAUGUCGUCCAUCACCGUCGCGUGGAAGCCGCGCUGCGCGAACACCUCGCGCGCGACGUCGAGGAGUUGUUGACGGCGCUGGUCGGCGGGCAGUCGCAUCGCAGGGGUACGGGCCGGCGCGUUCAGACGCUCGACUUGAGCGGCAUCACGUAGCGGUCCUCGUGAUCGAAGUUCCGGGACCACAAGGCCUCGACGUCGCGCCGCUCGUUGUCGGUGAGUGGGAAGUCGGCCGCACCGGCGUACUCGCGGAUGUCGGCGACGGUCAGCACGCUCGGGAGAACGGUUGCGAACGCGGGGUUGGCGAGGAUCGCCGCGAUCGCAGCCUGCCCGAUGGUGCGGCCGGUCUCCGGAGCCCACAGGAACGAGAGCGUCUCCGCCUUCU
Molecule: unclassified non-coding RNA, 975 nt
Filed under: uncultured fungus
Lineage: Eukaryota; Fungi
Description: sequence contains 18S rRNA gene, ITS1, 5.8S rRNA gene, ITS2, 28S rRNA gene
Source: RNAcentral